GGGGGUGAAAUGGUUUCGACGGGGAGGUUGAAGCCGGGUAAGCGAGCCGUAGUCGCCAAGUCUACGUUAAAAGUGGCCGUUUAAAUAUAAACGCUAAAAAUAAUAAUAAUUUCGCAAUGGCUGCGUAGUUCAGCCCGCGUGCCUUUAGAGAUUUUCCUGUAGGUCUCUUUAAGGUAUCAAAAUAUGCAGGAAACUUUCCGGCGAUUGCUAGGUAGCCAUGGAUCGUAUUACUAGUUAGUCUGUUCUUAUCUUUGAUCUUCAGGAGUGGGCAGAUGAAAUAAACUGAGGAUCUUCGCUCGGAGAAAGCCCCGUGAAUAUCUUUUCGGACGCGAGUUCAACUCUCGCCACUUCCACCA
RNAcentral lists this transfer-messenger RNA (356 nucleotides) under human gut metagenome. It matches the Rfam family "transfer-messenger RNA". Rfam says of the family: Bacterial tmRNA, also known as 10Sa RNA or SsrA, is named for its dual tRNA and mRNA-like properties. The record is from RNAcentral.